CCUACGGGGGGCUGCAGUGGGGAAUAUUGCGCAAUGGGCGAAAGCCUGACGCAGCGACGCCGCGUGAGGGAUGAAGGUCUUCGGAUCGUAAACCUCUGUCAGCAGGGAAGAACGGUCACUGUGGUAAUCAGCAGUGAAUUGACGGUACCUGCAAGGGACGCCCCGGCUAAGUCCGUGCCAGCAGCUGCGGUAAUACGGAGGGUGCGAGCGUUAAUCGGAAUUACUGGGCGUAAGGGGGUAUGAGUUGGUAUGUCAAGUCAAGGGUGAAAUCCCCGGGCUCAACGUGGGAACUGCCUUUGAAACUGGCAAACUGGAGUGUGUGAGAGGAUAGUGGAAUUCCAGGUGUAGGAGUGAAAUGCGUAGAUAUCAGGAGGAACAUCAGUGGCGAAGGCGACUAUCUGGCACAUAACUGACGCUGAGGAGCGAAAGCGUGGGUAGCAAACAGGAUUAGAUACCCGGGUAGUC
This 465-nucleotide ribosomal RNA is filed under the name uncultured bacterium. Its description in RNAcentral is "partial 16S ribosomal RNA". It matches the Rfam family "Bacterial small subunit ribosomal RNA", at positions 338 to 795 of the family's 1533-position model. The record is from RNAcentral.